Molecule: ribosomal RNA, 309 nt
Filed under: uncultured bacterium
Lineage: Bacteria
Description: bacterial SSU rRNA
Rfam family: Bacterial small subunit ribosomal RNA
Source: RNAcentral
GACGGAACGCUGGCGGCGUGCCUAACACAUGCAAGUCGAACGGAAGUAAGUGCUUCGGUAUUUACUUUAGUGGCGAACGGGUGAGUAACGCGUGAGGAACCUGCCUUUCAGUGGGGGACAACAGUUGGAAACGACUGCUAAUACCGCAUGACGCUUCUUAGGGGCAUCCCUGAGAAGUCAAAGCUUUAUGUGCUGAAAGAUGGCCUCGCGUCUGAUUAGCUAGUUGGUGGGGUAACGGCCCACCAAGGCGACGAUCAGUAGCCGGUCUGAGAGGAUGAACGGCCACAUUGGGACUGAGAUACGGCCCAG